RNAcentral lists this ribosomal RNA (431 nucleotides) under uncultured bacterium. Its description in RNAcentral is "partial 16S ribosomal RNA". It matches the Rfam family "Bacterial small subunit ribosomal RNA", at positions 29 to 507 of the family's 1533-position model. The record is from RNAcentral.
AACGAACGCUGGCGGCAGGCUUAACACAUGCAAGUCGAGCGCCCCGCCCGGGGUGCGGCAGACGGGUGGGUAACGCGUGGGAUCGUACCUUCUGGUUUGGAACAACUCUGGGAAACUGGAGCUAAUAGCGGACAAGCCCUAACGCGGAAAGGUAUAUCGCCGAGGGUUCGGCGCGCGUCUGAUUUGCUAGUUGGUGAGGUAACGGCGCGCCAAGGCGACGAUCAGUAGCUGGUCUGGGAGGAGGAGCAGCCACACUGGGACUGAGACACGGCCCAGACUCCUACGGGAGGCAGCAGUGGGGAAUAUUAGACGAUGGGCGCAAGCGUGAUCCAGCCGUGCCGCGGAAGUGAUGAAGGCCUUAGGAUUGUAAAGCUCUUUGGGCCGGGAAGAUAAUGACUGUACCGGAAGAAUAAGCCCCGGCUAACUUCGUG